GCGGAGGGAUCAUUGCUGGAACGCGCUUCGGCGCACCCAGAAACCCUUUGUGAACUUAUACCUAUUUGUUGCCUCGGCGUAGGCCGGCCUCUUCACUGAGGCCCCCUGGAGACAGGGAGCAGCCCGCCGGCGGCCAACUAAACUCUUGUUUCUAUAGUGAAUCUCUGAGUAAAAAACAUAAAUGAAUCAAAACUUUCAACAACGGAUCUCUUGGUUCUGGCAUCGAUGAAGAACGCAGCGAAAUGCGAUAAGUAAUGUGAAUUGCAGAAUUCAGUGAAUCAUCGAAUCUUUGAACGCACAUUGCGCCCUCUGGUAUUCCGGAGGGCAUGCCUGUUCGAGCGUCAUUUCAACCCUCAAGCCUGGCUUGGUGAUGGGGCACUGCCUUCUAGCGAGGGCAGGCCCUGAAAUCUAGUGGCGAGCUCGCUAGGACCCCGAGCGUAGUAGUUAUAUCUCGUUCUGGAAGGCCCUGGCGGUGCACUGCCGUUAAACCCCCAACUUCUGAAAAUUUGACCUCGGAUCAGGUAGGAAUACCCGCUGAACUUAAGCAUAU
This 550-nucleotide ribosomal RNA is filed under the name Diaporthe sp. 2 UFMGCB 6350. RNAcentral's name for it is "eukaryotic LSU rRNA". The stretch from base 191 to 344 matches the Rfam family "5.8S ribosomal RNA". Lineage: Eukaryota; Fungi; Ascomycota; Sordariomycetes; Diaporthales; Diaporthaceae. The record is from RNAcentral.